RNAcentral lists this ribosomal RNA (301 nucleotides) under uncultured bacterium. Its description in RNAcentral is "partial 16S ribosomal RNA". It matches the Rfam family "Bacterial small subunit ribosomal RNA", at positions 509 to 807 of the family's 1533-position model. The record is from RNAcentral.
CAGUAGCCGCGGGAAUACGAGGGGGGCAAGCGUUGUUCGGAAUUAUUGGGCGUAAAGGGUGCGUAGGCGGUUUGAUAAGUCACAUGUGAAAUCUUCGGGCUCAACCCGAAGUCUGCAUGCGAAACUGUCGGGCUUGAGUAUUGGAGAGGUGAGUGGAAUUUCCGGUGUAGCGGUGAAAUGCGUAGAUAUCGGAAGGAACACCUGUGGCGAAAGCGGCUCACUGGACAAUAACUGACGCUCAUGCACGGAAGCGUGGGGAGCAAACAGGAUUAGAUACCCGCGUAGUCCCUGUCUCUUAUAC